UACCAGCACCCCGAGUGGUCGGGACGAUUAUUGGGCCUAAAGCAUCCGUAGCCGGUCUUGCAAGUCUUCCGUUAAAUCCAGCUGCUUAACAGGUGGGCUGCGGAAGAUACUACAAGACUAGGAGGUGGGAGAGGCAAGCGGUACUCAGUGGGUAGGGGUAAAAUCCUCUGAUCCAUUGAAGACCACCAGUGGCGAAGGCGGCUUGCCAGAACGCGCUCGACGGUGAGGGAUGAAAGCUGGGGGAGCAAACCGG
RNAcentral lists this ribosomal RNA (253 nucleotides) under uncultured bacterium. RNAcentral describes it as "partial 16S ribosomal RNA". It matches the Rfam family "Archaeal small subunit ribosomal RNA", at positions 474 to 727 of the family's 1478-position model. The record is from RNAcentral.